GCACGCCGCGCGGUUGUUGUGAUACAGCCUCCGCCACGUGACUGCGCGGGGCCCGCCUUCCUUGCGCGCGGUGCCUCCUCACGGUGACUCAGCACUUUGUGCGGGCUCGGAGCCGAAGGUCUAACCCAGGGAGGCUGAUUUGGGGCAAAGUCUUGGUGGUUAUUCCUGCCCCCGGGCUGCGGAUGCCUCUAUCGCUGUGGUCACACUUCAGCUACGCCAGGCCUCCAGGCAAGGAGGCUCUGUAGUCCCAUCGUUACCCAUUUCCUCCUCAUCUCGGUUUCUCAGAGAUCAAAUAAGCAAAGCAUAGGGAUAGUGCCCAGGGGUCUCUGAGGAGGGCAUUCCUGGAUUAAGUCACUUGAGGCCACCUACCCCUGCCUUACUGCACUCUUUGGCCUGAGUGUACCUUGUCCCUGAAUUUUUCUCAGGUCUCAACAAAUUACUGUGCACAGCAUACCAGCUUCAUGCCGGACUCUUGGUUUCAUCUGGAAUCCAAAGAGCAGUGCUGGCUGUUCUGGAUUGCUGCGUUUUCUGGAUGAGGCCACCGAGAUACUAAUAAUACUAAGCACAGGUAGUGACCCCUGCGAUCUGAACUCAACUGUAGUUUCAAAGCUUGUGUCUUUCUUUUACUCCACAGAGCCUGGAUGAAGCUGAUGGCCCUUUUCAGUGGAACUCUUACAGGUCUCCAGACCACCUCCAUUAUAGCUCUCCUUUGACACACCAUUUCCUCAAAGCCUGCGAAGUUAGCCUGUGAAGCUUUUCAGAUAGUGACUUUCUUUUAAAUUCUUAGCUGGUAGAAAGUUAUUUCUUAAGAGUGCAUGGUACUAAACUACAAAAGAUAUAAAUUGAAUUAUACUUGGAAUUUGAUCAUAUUCAAGGAGGUUUCCAGGUUCUUUUAAUAGAAGAGCAAUAGAUUUUUAAAAGGGGUUGGGGGG
RNAcentral lists this long non-coding RNA (932 nucleotides) under Marmota monax (woodchuck). The record is from RNAcentral. Lineage: Eukaryota; Metazoa; Chordata; Mammalia; Rodentia; Sciuridae.